This 484-nucleotide ribosomal RNA is filed under the name uncultured bacterium. RNAcentral describes it as "partial 16S ribosomal RNA". It matches the Rfam family "Bacterial small subunit ribosomal RNA", at positions 30 to 507 of the family's 1533-position model. The record is from RNAcentral.
AUUGAACGCUGGCGGCAGGCCUAACAUAUGCAAGUCGAGCGGAUGAAGGGAGCUUGCUCCUGGAUUCAGCGGCGGACGGGUGAGUAAUGCCUAGGAAUCUGCCUGGUAGUGGGGGAUAACGUCCGGAAACGGGCGCUAAUACCGCAUACGUCCUGAGGGAGAAAGUGGGGGAUCUUCGGACCUCACGCUAUCAGAUGAGCCUAGGUCGGAUUAGCUAGUUGGUGGGGUAAAGGCCUACCAAGGCGACGAUCCGUAACUGGUCUGAGAGGAUGAUCAGUCACACUGGAACUGAGACACGGUCCAGACUCCUACGGGAGGCAGCAGUGGGGAAUAUUGGACAAUGGGCGAAAGCCUGAUCCAGCCAUGCCGCGUGUGUGAAGAAGGUCUUCGGAUUGUAAAGCACUUUAAGUUGGGAGGAAGGGCAGUAAGUUAAUAUCUUGCUGUUUUGACGUUACCAACAGAAUAAGCACCGGCUAACUUCGUG